GGAGGGAUGGCCGAGUGGCUGAAGGCGGCGGUCUUGAAAACCGCAGUGGGUGUUUCACUCACCGGGGGUUCGAAUCCCUCUCCCUCCG
Molecule: transfer RNA, 88 nt
Filed under: Anaerolineales bacterium
Lineage: Bacteria; Bacillati; Chloroflexota; Anaerolineae; Anaerolineales
Description: tRNA-Ser
Rfam family: tRNA
About the family: Transfer RNA (tRNA) molecules are approximately 80 nucleotides in length. Their secondary structure includes four short double-helical elements and three loops (D, anti-codon, and T loops).
Source: RNAcentral